RNAcentral lists this ribosomal RNA (259 nucleotides) under uncultured bacterium. Its description in RNAcentral is "partial 16S ribosomal RNA". It matches the Rfam family "Bacterial small subunit ribosomal RNA", at positions 524 to 782 of the family's 1533-position model. The record is from RNAcentral.
UACGGAGGGUGCAAACGUUGCUCGGAAUCAUUGGGCGUAAAGCGCACGUAGGCGGCGUCGUAAGUCGGGUGUGAAAGCCCUCGGCUCAACCGAGGAAGUGCAUUCGAAACUGCGAGGCUUGAGUACCGGAGAGGGAGACGGAAUUCCCGGUGUAGAGGUGAAAUUCGUAGAUAUCGGGAGGAACACCAGCGGCGAAGGCGGUCUCCUGGACGGAUACUGACGUUGAGGUGCGAAAGCGUGGGGAGCAAACAGGAUUAGA